GGAGCAAGGAGCCCAUUGGGCACGGCCGCACUAACCCUAGCUCCCCAUCCACAGCCACGCACUCCUCCCUCCUCCCUCUCACAGCUGCCACACCCCAUUCCUCUCUUCCUCCUCCCUCCUCCUUCCUGGAUCCCUGCCAUCGCCACACCCACUCGUCUCCUCCUCUCUCCUUCCUGAUCUCUACGUCGGCCGCAGCGCGAGAGGAGCAGCGGGGCGGAGAUGCUCCCGGCCCCGCCUCUCGGUGCACAGCCUGCGCCGCCGUGGACGUCCCGAGCCCCGUGAAGGUGCGCCGCCGGCCACGAGCGCCGCAAUGGCUGUGGUCCCGCUCAUGGAGUCAUCCAUGGCCGCCCGGAACGCGAAGAGGAGGGAGGGGCUCGCGGCGCGCUGGGGAGGGGGGGAGACGGGAAGGAAUGGGCGAGUGGGAAGGGGGCGAGCGGGAUGGGCGGGGCGGCAGAUGGGGAGGCGGCUAGGGUUCUACCUGCUGCUGGCGGAAGUAGCAGGGUUUGAAGGAGCGGCAGAUGUGGGCAUGGUUGCGGUUGGGGAAGGCUCGCCGGCUGGGGGACGGCGAGCAUCGGUGAGCGCAACGAAAGGAAGCCAGGCAUCGGCGUACGACAAUGAUUUGGGCGCCUGCGGCAUGACGGCGAGUCGCCGCCGAACGCUCAGCGAUGGGGCGAGUUGGUUAAGGCGUCAGUGGCACCUUUGCUCGUCGCCAAGGAUGGCACGUGCGCGAUCUGAAAUACGAUGCCGGCCAACUUUGGCCUCCGAGGCUUCCCUGACACCCUCCUCCACCACUACCUCAAUAAAAAUGUCUUCAAAGGAUUAGGGCUUAGGGCAACUCGAUGGCAGCCAGUCGGAGUUUGCUAAUUUGCAUAUGCAAGUCCUUUUGAAAUAUGAAACUUCUGUGUGGUGAUGAGGUUUUGCUCAUCUUGCUUCUGCUCAUCUUGAUUGAUUCAUCUCCAGUGAAGGGGUGUGCCUUUUGAUGCAUUCAUUUUCUCUUUCAUACAUGGUGUUCAUCUUUGUUUUGGAGAACAUCACCCUUGCUGAUGUUCACCUUAUCUAUGUAUGCAGGGGGCUUGUCCUUCCAUGGUGCUCAGCCACGGACAGAUUUGGAGGGAAAUAGGAGAUCCUGACGAAAAUGAGCAUGCUAGCGGUGGAUCCAAGGAUGCGUGGUGAUUGUGCCAGGUUUGUGCUCUGGCUCUUCUGUUGGAAUCGAAGCUUCAUCAAAUCUAUCUGGGCGUUCAUUGCGUAAUACAAUGUUGAGAUUGAGAACAUUUUCAUAGGGGAACUUAAGAACUAGGAGGGUGCAGAUAAGUAAGAGUUGUUGGCAGCAGCAACCUACACAUGUGGAAACAGUGGCUAUGGCGGUUCAAAGGGAAGUUGUGGCUGCUAGACAGCAACUCACAACUUAGUGGCGGCUCAAAGGACAUAUAAUCUAUUUCUUCUUGGAGCUAUCUACUAUCAUAUUAUGACUCAUUGCUAGCUGAAGCUUCUAUUUUCUCGCCUUUUGUGGUGGCGAUUAUUCCUUGGACUGCAGUAAUUCCAUUUGCUAUUCCUCAUGUUGCAACCUUUUCCCGUAGAAUCAAAAGGAAUUAGAUGGAAGAAAUGGCAGGAGAGAAGGAAUGGUAUUCUCGGCUGACAUUCAAAAGCAGUCAAGAUGGUGAAGUUUAGAAUGGAGGAGCUCCGCGGAAUUAUGGAUAAAAAAUAUCCAUAACAUGUCUGUCAUUGCUCAUGUCGACCAUGCUUGCUAUUAUUAGAGAAGGAAUGGUAUUCUCGGUUGACAUUCAAAAGCAGUCAAGAUGGUGAAGUUUAGAACGGAGGAGCUCCACGGAAUUAUGGAUAAAAAAUAUCGAUAACAUGUCUGUCAUUGCUCAUGUCGACCAUGGCCAGUUUUACAUUUACUUCUUCGAUAAGGAGAUGACCAUGAACAGAGUAUCAUGGUAUUUGCCUUGGCAUUACUGAUGUUGUGUUCAGAUUACUGAAGGAUUGGUAGCCGCAAAGGAGUGAAGGGUAGAAAAUAUGUCCAUUGUCAUUGAAUUGGUGGGAUUGUCCCCAAGUUAGUGCUGCAGAUGUUUCUAUUUUAGAGCAAGAAGCCAAAUCAUGCUGUUCAUUGUAAAUCUUGAAAAGCUUGUUUAUUGUCACUUCUAUAUCUGUUGUAAAUGUUUAUUCAUGAUGUGGUACUUGUCAAUCUUGUUUUGCCCUUCUUUUUCAAGUUUGCC
This 2216-nucleotide ribosomal RNA is filed under the name Triticum aestivum (bread wheat). RNAcentral's name for it is "partial small subunit ribosomal RNA". Lineage: Eukaryota; Viridiplantae; Streptophyta; Magnoliopsida; Poales; Poaceae. The record is from RNAcentral.